GGGCGGCUAGUUCAGCGGACAGAACGCUUGGUUCCGGACCAAGAGGUCAUGGGUUCAAAUCCCAUGCCGCCCG
RNAcentral lists this transfer RNA (73 nucleotides) under Halobacteriales archaeon QS_1_67_19. RNAcentral's name for it is "tRNA-Arg". It matches the Rfam family "tRNA". Rfam says of the family: Transfer RNA (tRNA) molecules are approximately 80 nucleotides in length. Their secondary structure includes four short double-helical elements and three loops (D, anti-codon, and T loops). The record is from RNAcentral. RNAcentral also lists the same sequence under 3 other names. Lineage: Archaea; Methanobacteriati; Methanobacteriota; Halobacteria; Halobacteriales.